Molecule: ribosomal RNA, 2889 nt
Filed under: Acinetobacter baumannii 532279
Lineage: Bacteria; Pseudomonadati; Pseudomonadota; Gammaproteobacteria; Moraxellales; Moraxellaceae
Description: bacterial LSU rRNA
Rfam family: Bacterial large subunit ribosomal RNA
Source: RNAcentral
CAAGUAAUUAAGUGCAUGUGGUGGAUGCCUUGGCAGUCAGAGGCGAUGAAAGACGUGAUAGCCUGCGAAAAGCUCCGGGGAGGCGGCAAAUAUCCUUUGAUCCGGAGAUGUCUGAAUGGGGGAACCCACCUACUUUAAGGUAGGUAUUGCAACAUGAAUACAUAGUGUUGCAAGGCGAACGAGGGGAAGUGAAACAUCUCAGUACCCUUAGGAAAAGAAAUCAAUUGAGAUUCCCUCAGUAGCGGCGAGCGAACGGGGAUCAGCCCAUUAAGUUAUGUGUGUUUUAGUGGAACGCUCUGGGAAGUGCGAACGUAGAGGGUGAUAUUCCCGUACACGAAAGGGCACACAUAAUGAUGACGAGUAGGGCGAGGCACGUGAAACCUUGUCUGAAUAUGGGGGGACCAUCCUCCAAGGCUAAAUACUCCUGACUGACCGAUAGUGAACCAGUACCGUGAGGGAAAGGCGAAAAGAACCCCUGUGAGGGGAGUGAAAUAGAUCCUGAAACCGCAUGCAUACAAGCAGUGGGAGCACCUUCGUGGUGUGACUGCGUACCUUUUGUAUAAUGGGUCAGCGACUUAUAUUCAGUAGCGAGGUUAACCGUAUAGGGGAGCCGUAGAGAAAUCGAGUCUUAAUAGGGCGUUUAGUUGCUGGGUAUAGACCCGAAACCAGGCGAUCUAUCCAUGAGCAGGUUGAAGGUUGGGUAACACUAACUGGAGGACCGAACCCACUGUCGUUGAAAAGCCAGGGGAUGACUUGUGGAUAGGGGUGAAAGGCUAAUCAAGCCUGGUGAUAGCUGGUUCUCCCCGAAAGCUAUUUAGGUAGCGCCUCGGACGAAUACCAUAGGGGGUAGAGCACUGUUUCGGCUAGGGGGUCAUCCCGACUUACCAAACCGAUGCAAACUCCGAAUACCUAUGAGUACUAUCCGGGAGACAGACUGCGGGUGCUAACGUCCGUAGUCAAGAGGAAAACAAUCCAGACCGCCAGCUAAGGCCCCAAAAUCAUAGUUAAGUGGGAAACGAUGUGGGAAGGCAUAGACAGCUAGGAGGUUGGCUUAGAAGCAGCCACCCUUUAAAGAAAGCGUAAUAGCUCACUAGUCGAGUCGGCCUGCGCGGAAGAUGUAACGGGGCUAAAACUAUGUGCCGAAGCUGCGGAUGUAUACUUUGUAUACGUGGUAGGGGAGCGUUCUGUAAGCCGAUGAAGGUGUGUUGAGAAGCAUGCUGGAGGUAUCAGAAGUGCGAAUGCUGACGUGAGUAACGACAAAACGGGUGAAAAACCCGUUCGCCGAAAGACCAAGGGUUCCAGUCCAACGUUAAUCGGGGCUGGGUGAGUCGACCCCUAAGGCGAGGCCGAAAGGCGUAGUCGAUGGGAAAAUGGUUAAUAUUCCAUUACUUCUGUGUAAUGCGAUGAGAGGACGGAGAAGGCUAAAUCAGCCUGGCGUUGGUUGUCCAGGUGAAAGGAUGUAGGCAUGUAUCUUAGGCAAAUCCGGGGUACUCUAUGCUGAGAUCUGAUAGCAAGCUGUACUUGUACAGCGAAGUGGUUGAUGCCAUGCUUCCAGGAAAAGUCUCUAAGCUUCAGUUACACAGGAAUCGUACCCGAAACCGACACAGGUGGUCAGGUCGAGUAGACCAAGGCGCUUGAGAGAACUCUGCUGAAGGAACUAGGCAAAAUGGUACCGUAACUUCGGGAGAAGGUACGCUGUUGUUGGUGAUGGAACUCGCUUCCUGAGCUGACGACAGCCGCAGAAACCAGGCCGCUGCAACUGUUUAUUAAAAACAUAGCACUCUGCAAACACGAAAGUGGACGUAUAGGGUGUGAUGCCUGCCCGGUGCUGGAAGGUUAAUUGAUGGGGUUAGCGUAAGCGAAGCUCUUGAUCGAAGCCCCAGUAAACGGCGGCCGUAACUAUAACGGUCCUAAGGUAGCGAAAUUCCUUGUCGGGUAAGUUCCGACCUGCACGAAUGGCAUAAUGAUGGCGGCGCUGUCUCCAGCAGAGGCUCAGUGAAAUCGAAAUCGCUGUGAAGAUGCAGUGUACCCGCGGCUAGACGGAAAGACCCCGUGAACCUUUACUGCAGCUUGACACUGAACUUUGACCUUACUUGUGUAGGAUAGGUGGGAGGCUUUGAAGCUGGAACGCUAGUUCCAGUGGAGCCGUCCUUGAAAUACCACCCUGGUAAUGUUGAGGUUCUAACUCUGUCCCGUGAUCCGGGACGAGGACCGUGUCUGGUGGGUAGUUUGACUGGGGCGGUCUCCUCCUAAAGAGUAACGGAGGAGUACGAAGGUGCGCUCAGCGUGGUCGGAAAUCACGCGUAGAGUAUAAAGGCAAAAGCGCGCUUAACUGCGAGACCCACAAGUCGAGCAGGUACGAAAGUAGGUCUUAGUGAUCCGGUGGUUCUGUAUGGAAGGGCCAUCGCUCAACGGAUAAAAGGUACUCUGGGGAUAACAGGCUGAUACCGCCCAAGAGUUCAUAUCGACGGCGGUGUUUGGCACCUCGAUGUCGGCUCAUCUCAUCCUGGGGCUGAAGCAGGUCCCAAGGGUAUGGCUGUUCGCCAUUUAAAGAGGUACGCGAGCUGGGUUUAGAACGUCGUGAGACAGUUCGGUCCCUAUCUACCGUGGGCGCUGGAAAUUUGAGAGGAUCUGCUCCUAGUACGAGAGGACCAGAGUGGACGAAGCUCUGGUGUACCGGUUGUGACGCCAGUCGCAUCGCCGGGUAGCUAUGUUCGGAAGGGAUAACCGCUGAAAGCAUCUAAGCGGGAAGCCUACCUCAAGAUAAGAUUUCCCUAGGACUUUAUGUCCUAUAAAGAGCCGUUCGAGACUAGGACGUUGAUAGGUUGGAUGUGGAAGCAUAGUGAUAUGUGAAGCUGACCAAUACUAAUUGCUCGUGAGGCUUGACUA